This 1183-nucleotide long non-coding RNA is filed under the name Anas platyrhynchos platyrhynchos (common mallard). Its description in RNAcentral is "lncRNA (ENSAPLG00000020543.1)". Lineage: Eukaryota; Metazoa; Chordata; Aves; Anseriformes; Anatidae. The record is from RNAcentral.
UGAUAGUAUAACAACAGUAGCUAGGAUGAAGAAAAUGCAGGAACCCAUACAGUUUGUCUCUUGCUCUAAGGAACAGAGAAUCCCUGAUGUGUUUUUAUAACUUAUUCUUUAAAACCUGAAUGAUGGAGAUCAUUCACAUCCGCAUCUUUAGUGAUCUAUUUAUUUCCAUAACUAUUCUUAGAGUUAGGUUUUCCAAUUUUAGCCUAAACCUUUCCUGCCACAAUUGAAGCUAGUUAGUUAGUUCUCAGUGUCAUGAAGAACAGUCAUUUGCACACCUGUAUUUGAGAACCUUCUACAUAUUGGAAGUUUAUUGUUAUAUCACCACCACACCUGCCAUCAGCCUUUACUUUUUAGAGCAAAUAUAUCCUUUCCCUUUUUCAAUUAGUCUCCAUCUUUUAAAUAUCAAUUUGUAACCUUUUUUUUUUUUUUUUUUUUUACUAGCCCAUUAAACUAUACCAAACUAAGACUUCUGAGAGACUUCUUGCCGACUCUCUCCAUAAAGCUGACACGACCAGCCAUGAACACAGCAAAGCAGGAAACAUCUCCAGAACAAGAAAAUCAUCACAGUGGAGCUUUUGCCAGUUUUUUUUUCCUGUCUGCUAUCCUGGAUCAGAGGACUUUAUUUUGAUUGCUUAGUUUCAACUCUUACUUAAAAAUUGUGUUUUGCCAAAGUUAUUGAUCUCCUUUUGUUAUAUAAAACAACAGAGUCUUCAGAAACAUUUAACAUUUAUGCUUUCUCUCAGUUUGCUGGUGCCUGACAAUACUCUGCCUAUAGUCAGAAAAGCCAUGAUCUGGAAAAUCACUGUGAUCUAUGUCAACCUCAGUGGCCAGUGCCAUGCGAGCUGUUAACAGCUGCAGCACUACAUUAACAACAGUCUCAUUAACAUCUGCUGGGCUCUUCAUUUAGUUUUAUGUGCUGAUUCACUUGCAGCCAUGUACUUACCUAUGCUGGGUUUGUCUGCAGUCUUGUGGUUUCACAACUAUCUUCAGCCAGCUUGAGAAGGUGCUCUUCCAAAAAGUGCAAUUCUUCUUCUCACCCUGGUGCAUGUUACCAAUGACUCCUCUGUGGUAGUGCUGGUGCUUGCGUGGCUACACAGUGACUCAGAGAAGCUCGCUAAACCCAGCUGGGAAAAACAUUUACAAAAAAUGUAUUUUUUCACCUAGGUCAGCAAGCUUUUACAGC